CAGUAGCCGCGGUAAUACGUAGGUCCCGAGCGUUGUCCGGAUUUAUUGGGCGUAAAGCGAGCGCAGGCGGUUAGAAAAGUCUGAAGUGAAAGGCAGUGGCUCAACCAUUGUAGGCUUUGGAAACUGUUUAACUUGAGUGCAGAAGGGGAGAGUGGAAUUCCAUGUGUAGCGGUGAAAUGCGUAGAUAUAUGGAGGAACACCGGUGGCGAAAGCGGCUCUCUGGUCUGUAACUGACGCUGAGGCUCGAAAGCGUGGGGAGCGAACAGGAUUAGAUACCCCUGUAGUCCCUGUCUCUUAUACA
Molecule: ribosomal RNA, 301 nt
Filed under: uncultured bacterium
Lineage: Bacteria
Description: partial 16S ribosomal RNA
Rfam family: Bacterial small subunit ribosomal RNA
Source: RNAcentral